AAUAUCUGUGGGCCAUUACUGAAGCUGAACUACUUAAAGAUACGUCACUGUGUCAAUAUGGAAAAACUUGGGAUUUCCGCAGAAAAUCUCGUCAUUUAAACAUAGAGGGCAGAAGAUAAGGCUUCUUUUUAAGCACGUACCUUGUCUUGCCGAGCUAUUAUUUAGUGGAGAUUUUUCGGUCCUAUCUAAUUAAUAAUCUCCGUGGGCAUUCAAGCUGUUCCAUGAAAUUUGGGCACAAUUUUCCUCAAACAUUCCAGAAUUAGGUAACCUCAAGUAUUUGGAACCUCGUGGGCAAUCUACAAUCUACAAAGCCUCCUUUCUUGCAUUUUCCUAUUAGAUGCAGCUCCCAUGUUGCAUAAAUUUACACUGAAGAGAAAAGCCAUUGACUUGCAAAUUGGAGCUCAAAGCUUCAUGGAGAGAGUUGGAUCAACAGAGCUUGUGGUUGCAAGGCCGCUUUGGAGAUCAAGCUUCUUGAGCUCGUGGUGGGCUCAACUAUAGGUAUAAGCUUGGGUGAGACUUUGUAAAUCCUUAUCAAGUCUUGUAACUGUUUGAUUCAAUGAUCUAGUGAACAUUGGUGUUGGGAUUGUGGUUUUCAUCCUGUGAGAUAUUUGUCUCAUAAGGUUUCCAAGUUAAUCUUGCGUCUUGUCCCUUGUUUAAUGCUUUCAAUUGAUCUAUUGAUGAUUGAAAUUGAUAUAGUUGAUCUAUAUUGUUAAUAUUGGGAUUGUUGAUUUCAGAAAGCAUGAAGUUGAUUGAUGUAUUGAAUUCGUUGAUCCAUUUUGUUAGAGCUUAUCUUGUAAGAUAAACUUAACAAUGGCUAAAUGAUCGGAAUUCCCGUGAGGGUAUUUAUUACGCAAGAUGGAAUCAACAAUCCGGAAGCAAAAUUGUGUCUAUAUAUGCUGGUUAUUCAAUGGUUCUAAAAACAAUGUAUAUCAAGAACACAUCCUGCCGUUGUAUUUAUAAACACAAUGGCAGCCAUUGCCAAAGGUCACAACCUUUGGAUACAAAAACUAACAGCCACAAUUGUCAUGAAGCAAUGUGUCCAUUGUGUUCAAAUUCAAAUACUUAACUUUUGAUCAAGUAUGGAGAGACACACCACAUUGCGGUGUGGUCACACUUAAUCUAACAUAUCUAAGUUUCAAUGACCAUUUAUCUUUAUGGUAAAACAUGCUAUGCAUUAGGAACCUUAAAAGUAUUUGUACUUACAAUGCUUUAUGGAAUGCCAUCAUGCAGCACGGCUAAUUCUUUCUUAUGUAUUGUAAUUGAUACUCUAUGAUAUUUGACUCAUGUACGGCUUAUCAUUCACAACUAGUUCUUUGAUAGUGGAACUUGCUGUGGUAUUGUUGUUCUCAAAUUAAAUUGAGACUUUACUUUCCAUUAGUCUUUGCUCUUGUAUUUUAUGUUUGUUAUUGGUAUUGUUUGUUUGCCCUUGGUAAAUCACUUGCAAUCUUUGAAUCAAACACAACCUAAAUCUCAUUGUUUUUUGUCCAUUCUGAAAUGGAGUCUUAAGAGCUGAACAAGAUAGCCACUUCCCCAAGUUAUUUUUGACAGCAUAUGCACAUGGAGAAUUGAAGUUGUUCCAUCUGCAUUUCAUAAUACCAGUCAGUUGUGAAAAUGAAUAACUUUCAUUCAACCAACUGGGACUAGCUUGGUUAGAACCCUUGCAUGUCAGUAGGUCAUGAGUUGGACUCUUGUCACGUGCGAUAAUUUUUACCUCUCUAGGCUAUGACACCUGAUGUACCCUAAAAAAGAAGAAAAUAAACUUCCUUCCAAUCCAUUGACCUCUCAUUAGAAGUUUUCUUUUCGGUUCUUUUCCCAGAAUUGUGCAGAAGAAUCAAUUUCCCCCAUGCAAGAGUUUUCAGCACGUUGCGCGGUGGAGUAUUUAAGACACAUGCAGAAUAAAGUUCCAAAGAAAUAUCACUACCUGAAGGUGGUGGAAGUGGUAGGGUUUGCUGGGUCCACAGUUGUUGAGUUCAUCACAUGCGUACUUGAGUAUGUUGUGUCACUCGACAAGUUCAUCCUAAAUCCUCAUUGUCCAUGGAAUGGAGAACUGCCAUCCCAGUAUGAUGACAACUUCAUUCCGAUGCAGCAAUUAGCAAGGGAGAGCACUAUGAAGAUGGCAGCAAAACUACCACCAGGGGUCAAAUUUGUGGUUAUUAGUCUUAGUCCUAUAUUCCCAUAGAUUUUGUGAACCUCUGGACAGUGGUGGCAUGCAUGAUGCACUACUUUCUAACUGCUUUUGUUUUCUUUUUAUUUAUUGGAUUUCACCUUUUAAGCUUUUUAAACUGUUUGAUAGAAAGUUAUUGUAGAAAAUUAAUGGUGCUUGUUGGGACUAUAGUUUGUGAAUUUCU
This is a non-coding RNA of Camellia sinensis, 2348 nucleotides long. The record is from RefSeq and is a predicted model, not a curated record. NCBI's taxonomy places the organism in Eukaryota, Viridiplantae, Streptophyta, Magnoliopsida, Ericales, Theaceae.